This 31-nucleotide non-coding RNA is filed under the name Mus musculus (house mouse). The record is from RNAcentral. Lineage: Eukaryota; Metazoa; Chordata; Mammalia; Rodentia; Muridae.
AUGUCAGCCCCACCAUAGAAGCCCCUGUAAG